RNAcentral lists this ribosomal RNA (492 nucleotides) under uncultured bacterium. RNAcentral's name for it is "partial 16S ribosomal RNA". It matches the Rfam family "Bacterial small subunit ribosomal RNA", at positions 29 to 507 of the family's 1533-position model. The record is from RNAcentral.
AGUGAACGCUGGCGGUAGGCCUAACACAUGCAAGUCGAACGGCAGCACAGUAAGAGCUUGCUCUUACGGGUGGCGAGUGGCGGACGGGUGAGGAAUACAUCGGAAUCUACUUUUUCGUGGGGGAUAACGUAGGGAAACUUACGCUAAUACCGCAUACGACCUACGGGUGAAGGCAGGGGAUCUUCGGACCUUGCGCGAUUGAAUGAGCCGAUGUCGGAUUAGCUAGUUGGCGGGGUAAAGGCCCACCAAGGCGACGAUCCGUAGCUGGUCUGAGAGGAUGAUCAGCCACACUGGAACUGAGACACGGUCCAGACUCCUACGGGAGGCAGCAUUGGGGAAUAUUGGACAAUGGGCGCAAGCCUGAUCCAGCCAUACCGCGUGGGUGAAGAAGGCCUUCGGGUUGUAAAGCCCUUUUGUUGGGAAAGAAAAGCAGCAGGUUAAUACCCCGCUGUUCUGACGGUACCCAAAGAAUAAGCACCGGCUAACUUCGUG